This 253-nucleotide ribosomal RNA is filed under the name uncultured bacterium. RNAcentral describes it as "partial 16S ribosomal RNA". It matches the Rfam family "Bacterial small subunit ribosomal RNA", at positions 524 to 776 of the family's 1533-position model. The record is from RNAcentral.
UACGUAGGGUGCGAGCGUUAAUCGGAAUUACUGGGCGUAAAGCGUGCGCAGGCGGUUUUGUAAGCCAGAUGUGAAAUCCCCGGGCUUAACCUGGGAAUGGCAUUUGGGACUGCAAGGCUCGAGUGCGGGAGAGGAGACUGGAAUUCCUGGUGUAGCAGUGAAAUGCGUAGAUAUCAUGAGGAACACCGAUGGCGAAGGCAGGUCUCUGGGCUGACACUGACGCUCAUGCACGAAAGCGUGGGGAGCAAACAGG